This 295-nucleotide ribosomal RNA is filed under the name uncultured bacterium. RNAcentral's name for it is "partial 16S ribosomal RNA". The record is from RNAcentral.
GGACUACCCGGGUAUCUAAUCCGGGUUGCUACCCACGCUUUCGUGCCUCAAUGUCAGUAACAGAAUAGUUAACUGCCUUCGCCGUUAUUGGAGUUCUUCCAUAUAUCUACACAUUUUACCGCUCCACAUGGAGUUCCGUUAACCUCUCCUGAACUCAAGCCUGACAGUAUUACCAGCUUCCACGAGGUUGGGCCUCGAUUUACCACUGCCAACUUAUCAGACCAUCUACGCACCCUUUACGCCCAAUAAUUCCGGAUAACGUUCGCCACCUACGUCUUACCGCGGCGGCUGGCAC